GGGCCCGCACAAGCGGUGGAGUAUGUGGUUUAAUUCGAUGCAACGCGAAGAACCUUACCAACACUUGACAUGUUCGUCGCGACUCUAAGAGAUUAGAGUUUUCGGUUCGGCCGGACGAAACACAGGUGCUGCAUGGCUGUCGUCAGCUCGUGUCGUGAGAUGUUGGGUUAAGUCCCGCAACGAGCGCAACCCUCACUUUUAGUUGCCAUCAUUAAGUUGGGCACUCUGAAAGAACUGCCAGUGAUAAGCUGGAGGAAGGUGGGGAUGACGUCAAGUCCUCAUGGCCCUUACGUGUUGGGCUACACACGUGCUACAAUGGUAUCUACAACGAGUCGCAAUACCGCGAGGUGGAGCAAAUCUCUUAAAGCUUGUCUCAGUUCGGAUAGGAGUCUGCAACUCGACUCCUUGAAGUUGGAGUCGCUAGUAAUCGC
RNAcentral lists this ribosomal RNA (431 nucleotides) under uncultured bacterium. Its description in RNAcentral is "bacterial SSU rRNA". It matches the Rfam family "Bacterial small subunit ribosomal RNA", at positions 917 to 1345 of the family's 1533-position model. The record is from RNAcentral.